Long non-coding RNA from Acanthopagrus latus (yellowfin seabream), 1154 nucleotides. RefSeq lists it as uncharacterized. The transcript is spliced from 4 exons. The record is from RefSeq and is a predicted model, not a curated record. NCBI's taxonomy places the organism in Eukaryota, Metazoa, Chordata, Actinopteri, Spariformes, Sparidae.
AGAUAAUCCUUCCACCUGACAGGUGUAGUGUAUCAACAUGCUGAUUAAAAAGCACUGACUGGUGCACAGGUGUGUUGGACUGUGCAGAAUCCACAACCACUCAGUCACAUGCAGUUAUAUGUUGGUAAAAGACAUUUAGUAGACACAUCCUCACAACAUGAGGUGAUGUUGGUGGAUGAACGACAUGACGACGGGCCUCAGGAUCUCAUCACGGUGUCUCUGCUCUUUCAGAUCGGCAAUAAAAAGCAUGAUUUCAUUGUCCUCAGCUCCCGUCACUACCGCGGGCCAACACCUUCCAUCGCCAUCCAAGAGAAGAUGCAGCAAUGAGACGGACGUGAGGACAUCAUGGCUGGAGUGACUCCCGGUGCCUCCAGCCGCCGAGGAGCAAACACUGGUCUGUCAGGAUAUUGGCCUGGAGGGCAGGAGGAUGCUCCUCAGCCUGGCCUCUCUCUGUGGAUGUCGGUGUUUUUAAGUGGGAGGUCUGUCCGGCCUCUGGAAGGAAGCAGCUACCACACAUCCACAGUGUUGGGUUGCUGUAAUACCUCGACUGUCGGAUCUGUCAGUGCGACGCGAUCCUCAGAGAAGGUUAGAGGCUUCGGACGAGGUAUUCCUCCCUCGCUCACAGACCAAAUAUUAUUCGAUGUGACAUCUGGUUGCACUAACGGGAAUAAGUCCACCAACAAUCUCCCAGUGCACCUUUAAGCAAAACACGUUGAAUCCAUUAUUCAGCUUCUCGAGAUCAUUCCCAUUGAACGCAGUUUGCAUGUGGAGACGUGAGAAGCUCACAGGUUUCCUUCAAAGAUCUGUUCCUGCAGCAGCCAGCGCAGAACAAAACAGACUGAAAUAUCGCCAACACAGAACAGUGUGUUCAAAAACACUCAAACCACAGGAAGUCUGUAAACGGUCAAGUAGAGAAAAUAAUAUUUUAACCAGCGACACAUGACGGCAACCUGUCACAUCAUCCAUGUUGAUAGAGGGAGUGAAUUUCUUGGUCGGGGUCUCGAAAAUAUCUUCUGCAGAUUUGAGUUUGAGAAACUCUAAAAUCCAGUCGCUGGAACACGAGGAGAGUAACACCAGUGGGCGACUUCCUGACGAUGUCAUCAGGCACUGCAGAGGACGUCCGUUUACGUACGAUGGAGUGACAGCGCCCACGC